This 300-nucleotide ribosomal RNA is filed under the name Rosenvingiella radicans. RNAcentral describes it as "bacterial LSU rRNA". It matches the Rfam family "Bacterial large subunit ribosomal RNA", at positions 2174 to 2472 of the family's 2925-position model. Lineage: Eukaryota; Viridiplantae; Chlorophyta; Trebouxiophyceae; Prasiolales; Prasiolaceae. The record is from RNAcentral.
GGAAAAUUGGAGCCAUUCGUGAGAGACCACUCUUAAAAAGCUAGAAUCCUAAUAAUGAUCCUUGAAUCAGGACAUUUGACAGUUGCAGGUGGGCAGUUUGACUGGGGCGGUCGCCUCCUAAAAAGUAACGGAGGCGUGCAAAGGUUCCCUCAGGCUGGACGGAAAUCAGCUUAAGAGUGUAAAGGCAAAAGGGAGCUUGACUGCAAGACCUACAAGUCGAGCAGGGGCGAAAGCCGGCCUUAGUGAUCCGACGGUACCGCGUGGAAGGGCCGUCGCUCAACGGAUAAAAGUUACUCUAGG